RNAcentral lists this unclassified non-coding RNA (188 nucleotides) under plant metagenome. Its description in RNAcentral is "partial contains small subunit ribosomal RNA, internal transcribed spacer 1, and 5.8S ribosomal RNA". The stretch from base 141 to 188 matches the Rfam family "5.8S ribosomal RNA", at positions 1 to 49 of the family's 154-position model. The record is from RNAcentral.
UUUCCGUAGGUGAACCUGGGGAAGGAUCAUUAGUGAACGCCCUCACGGGCUUAUAACUAUUCCAAACCUCUGUGAACCGUGCCCUUCGGGGCUAUUUUACAAACAUGGUGUAAUGAACGUCAUAUAUCAUAACAAAACAAAACUUUCAACAACGGAUCUCUUGGCUCUCGCAUCGAUGAAGACGCAGC